Molecule: long non-coding RNA, 457 nt
Organism: Sapajus apella (tufted capuchin)
Lineage: Eukaryota; Metazoa; Chordata; Mammalia; Primates; Cebidae
Exons: 3
Source: RefSeq, a predicted model, not a curated record
UUUGCAGCCGCCCUCUUAGUCUUAGUGGACCUCACUCUUUGCAGAGGCUGUUAGGAGCAGUGCCUAGCCACAAUAGCAAGCCUACGUACAGUCUCACUCUGUUGCCCAGGUGGGAGUGCAGUGGUGCAGUGUGAUCACACCUUGACCUCCUGGGCUCAAGCGAUCCUUCCACCUCAGCCUCCUGAGUAGCUGGGACUACAGUGAAAUCCUAUGCUGUUGGAAAUGGAGAAAGGGAGAGGAAUAGUGAUGGCUGGAGGAAUCAGAUUUGGGAAUGCACAGUCCAGAUGAUAACAGUGACCCACAAGGAGGAAUUGUGGCAAGAAGCAUGCAGCCCAGAGCAAUCCCCAGGCAAUUGUUCUUCCUGCUGCCCUGGAUAAUGUGGUGAGAGGUUGUAGGGACUAGCCCCUGUGGUUUGCAGCUAAUGUAAAGCUGAAUAAAGAAAUUCACCAUAAUCAAA